AGACAGUGCUACCAACAGUCUGUGCAUCUUCAAGAUCGACGACGCGUUAAAAAGGACUCUGAUUUCGAACUACCUGAACAUGUUUCGCUACACGCUGCUUGUUGCCUUAAUCCUUUCGAUGAAUGCAUUGGGCUGGACAAAUGGAGUCGCACUUGACGACGCAUGUACCGUUGCUACAGAUUGUACCGCCACCACUCUAAACUCGGAC
Molecule: long non-coding RNA, 208 nt
Organism: Dreissena polymorpha
Lineage: Eukaryota; Metazoa; Mollusca; Bivalvia; Myida; Dreissenidae
Exons: 3
Source: RefSeq, a predicted model, not a curated record